UACCUGUUUGGUGAAAGACUCUCGGAGUGUCAUUUUAUGCCACCUGAGGAAGUCAGAAAGAACUCUUUAAAGACUGGGAUAUUCCAUUUAAGCAGCCAUCAUAUCCAUCAGUGAAGCAUAUAAUCAGAAUCGGCACUUACACAAAAGCUGCAGAUGGAGGGGCGAUUUAAAAGAAAGAAAGAUUACUCAGGAAGAACUAGCUUGAAAAGGAAUUCAUUAUGAUUUUCCUCCUUUGAUUUUACAGAAAAUGGAAAGUAUUUCAAAAACAAAUCUUCGGAUGUCUACAAAAGGCCAGGUUUUAUGUAAGAAGAAGAAGAAGUUUUAGGCACUCCUGACUCUCCUGAGAAGACUGCGGAUACCCAGGGCCUCACACCAGUUUGCACAUCAACAUUUUUGGAGAGAGGAAAAUCUGAAGUGGCUGUAAUGAAUAAUGAUGAUGAAGAUAAUGAAAUAGUUUUCAAAAAGCCCAUAUCCUGUGUAAAAGAAAAAAUACAAGAGACUCAAACACCUAUACAUUCACAGAAAAAAAGAUGAAGAAAAAGCAUUCAGUGAUUUUCAAUGUAUAAUAUCUGCAGCAUAUCAUGAGUGAUGAGAUCUGUAUACACUGAUGUAUAUAGAUCAGUGUAUACAGAUACACUGACCUUUACCUGGCAGAAAACAAUAAUGGGGCCACCGGAGGCCAGCCGAACACACAGAACUCAAGAAGCCUUCUGGAGUCAACGUAUCCGCAGAAAGCCGAGCAGCUAAUGUCAGAUGAGAAAUGCUUUAAGCAUUCUCUUUCCCCGAGCACCAUUGUCUUUGAAAAUGCCCUUGCAAUCAGGAUAUUUCCGACCAUGCAACAUAGGCUUUCGCAUCCUGAGUCUGAAAGUUUCUCCGAACCCAACCCAAAGGCUGGUUUUAGCUUCCAGUCAGAAGACUCUGUUCCUGGCUUACGAUCCUCAUGACUCAGGAAUUAAAGGUGUCAGACGGGGAACAGUGGGCCUUAUCUCAACUUUGGUGCCUCUUUGCUAAAUUUAUUCCUGUUAGUUUUUUUUUUUUUUUUUUUUCUGAGGUGGAGUCUCGCUCUGUCGCCCAGGAUCCAGUGCAGUGGCGCGAUCUCCGCUCACUGUAACCUCCGCCUCCUGGGUUUGAUUCUCCUCCCUCAGCCUCCCAAGUAGCUGGUACUAUAGGCGCCCACCACCACGCGCAGCUAAUUUUUGUAGUUUUAGUAGAGACAGGGUUUCACCACUUUGGCCAGGCUGGUCAGAAACUCCUGACCUCAGGUGAUCCGCCCGCCUCAGCCUCCAAAAGCUCUGGGAUUACAGGUGUGAGCCACUGCGCUUCGCCCUAUUCCUGUUAUUUUGUUCUGAGUGCUCAUGUCCUUUGUUUCUUUGAAUUUACGUAUAUUGAUUUAUUGAAUUGCAAGUAGACAAGCCCCAUCAAGCAGGGUUCUUAUAUUUCCAAGAUCAUUUCGUUACUCCAUUCAACCCCAAAUUAGCAUGCCAUUUAUCCCCUUGUUUCUGAACACUCUUCACUUAAUAGUCUUGGAAACAUCCAUCCAUUGCAAAACGGACUCAAACUUUUCUCACUUCCGUUUUCAGUUGAUUUUUUACUAUCCAAGUA
This is a long non-coding RNA of Macaca fascicularis (crab-eating macaque), 1602 nucleotides long. Lineage: Eukaryota; Metazoa; Chordata; Mammalia; Primates; Cercopithecidae. The record is from Ensembl.